Salvia miltiorrhiza (redroot sage) is the source of this 1427-nucleotide long non-coding RNA. RefSeq lists it as uncharacterized. The record is from RefSeq and is a predicted model, not a curated record. The transcript has 3 exons. NCBI's taxonomy places the organism in Eukaryota, Viridiplantae, Streptophyta, Magnoliopsida, Lamiales, Lamiaceae.
CUUCACCGCCUUCUCUCCUUCCCUCUCUGCCUCACGCCACCGCCACCGCCACCGUCCAACGUCGCCCCGCCCGCAGACAGCAACCGCACCUCCUUUCUUCUCUUCCCCACCACCUCGGCUCUAACCCGUCCACUCCAGAUCCGUUCGCUGUCCAGCGGUGCGGCGCGUUGUCCACUCCAGAUCCUUUCACCGUGUGGCUCCUCUAGCUCCUCAUCCUCGCCUUCCUCAUCGUAAUCGUGCUUAGCCUCGCCGAUUCUAGAAGCUUCCUACUCAGAUUCGUGAGAUCUCUAUUAAUUUUCGCACAGGGGUUUCGAACAUUAGAUUUUGCAAAGGGGGGUUUUCGCACACAGGGGUCCAAGCACACCUGCAAAUCUCAACAUUGUGAAAAAAGGGGUUUAUCUGAUUUCUUUUUGCAAGUUUCAUGGGGCGAGAGCCCCAAUUUCUUGAUUAUGUUAGAGAUUUUGGUAUGGCAAAAAUUGUGAUUCUUGGAACAUGUAAGGGAAAUUUUCGUGGAAACCCAUAUGAAUUUUGGAGAUAUUUUGAAAGUUUAAUCUGCAGUUUUCGUGAAAUACUUGGGAUACUUGGAAUAUUUUCUGGUUUAAUUCCUAGUUUUGAACUCCUUAAAAAUUCAUUAAACUCCUCCCUCCCCUUAAUUUAGUUUUCUUAAUCUCUAUGGAGGGAGUAUAUUUUUAGAUAUUCUUUGCUUAGUUUCAUUACAUAAUUGCUCAUAUUUGUUUAUAUGUUGUAGGUUCUACCAAACGAAAAGUUCAGGGAGUUACAAAAGGUUUGUCGGUGCAAAAAAAAGGCAGUCUUCUCAAAGAAAAUUAGCGAUCAGAAUAGAGAGAAUCCUACUCGUACAACUGCAUGGAGAUUGAGCCGGUAUAGUAAUACAAAAAAAGAAUCGAUAGAUGAAUCCUCAAAGGAAGUUUAUAUGAGCUUAUGAGGUUGCAGAUUGAAAACAUUGAAGAUGAUGACGGUCUUAUGUCAGAAGACGUGGCUUUAGUCAAGGUUCUCAGCGAGGAAAAGUCGAGCCGACUUGGUGCAUGUGGAGAUGGAUUGAAGCCACUAUCGAAAAGAGAAGAGAUGAUUAAUCUUGAUUUGCAAAAAGAGAAUGAAGAGCUAAAGAAAAAAAACGAAGAGUUGGCCUCUCGGUUUAAGUCUAGAGAAACUCAAAUUAGCAACCACCAAGUGAAUCUUCAAUCUCAAGUAGAAGAUCUUUUGAGAGCUAAACUCUCUGCUAUCAUUCAAGGCCUAAAUCAAAGUAGUCAAAUAUCGAGUUCUAAUUAAUGUAAAGUUAGUUAACUAAGUUUAUCUUUAAUUUAUUAGAAAAACAUGAUUUUAUGCUAUUUCAUAAAUAUGUUUCUGCCUCAAUUUUGCAAUUUAGAUUUGACUUUUUAUAAAUAAGCUUGAUCACGCUUAAAAUUUUC